Molecule: long non-coding RNA, 1290 nt
Organism: Thunnus maccoyii (southern bluefin tuna)
Lineage: Eukaryota; Metazoa; Chordata; Actinopteri; Scombriformes; Scombridae
Exons: 2
Source: RefSeq, a predicted model, not a curated record
GAGGGCCCCCAGAGUAAACUCCAAUUCCUGCAUGUAUUGUGGUCGACCUGGUCAUUAUCUCUCUUCUUGCCCAGUACACUGGUCUCUGACCCAGUCAGAACACGAGCAGCAUGUGCACCAGGUCUUACAGCGCCUCCUGGAGAACGAGCUGUAUGUGAAAGCAGAAAAGUGUGACUUCCAUGUACCUUCUGUGUCGUUUCUUGGUUAUAUCAUUGCACAGGGGCAGGUGCAGAUGGAUCCAGCUAAGGUGACAGCUGUUACAGAAUGGCCAAAACCCACUAACCUGAAACAGUUGCUAAGCUUUCUGGGCUUUGCAAACUUUUACAGGAGGUUCAUUAAAAAUUAAUCACAUAGCUGCUCCACUCACUGCUCUCACCUCCACUUCCACUCCUUUCCUAUGGUCUCCUGAGGCUGAAGUGGCCUUUAAAGACCUUAAGAACUGCUUCGCCUCAGCACCCAUCCUCAUCCAACCAGAUCCUGCUUGCCAGUUUGUCGUGGAGCUGGAUGCUUCAGACAGCGGGGUAGGUGCAGUACUAUCCCAGCGAUCAUCAAAUGACAAACUUCAUCCUUGUGCCUUUUUCUCCUGCAAGCUGUCACCUGCUGAAAGAAAUUACAAUAUCGGUAACUGGGAACUUCUUGCUUCGCUUUGGAUUUUGUUACUGGCCUCCCACCAUCAAACGGUAAACAUUCUCACCAUAACAGAUCACUUUUCCAAAGCUGCACUUUUCUUGCCCUAUCCAAACUUCCCUCUGCUAGGGAGACUGCGGACCUGUUGGUGGACCAUGUCUUCCACCUGCAUGGAAUCCCAUCUGAAAUUGUGUCUGACCGAGGCCCGCAGUUCACCUCACAGGUUUGGAAGGCAUUUUGUUCAGCCCUGGGAGCCACAGUCAGUCUCUCUUCUGGGUAUCACCCCCAGUCCAAACCGAGGGGGCCAAUCAGGAAAUGGAGGCUGCACUCCGCUGCAUUACCUCUGCUAAUACACCCACAGUGGAGUACACUUGCAACACCUUACCAACGCCUCCUUGGGUAUGUUCCCUCUGCCUGCAGCAAUCUUGGCCUGAUUCUGACUCCCAUCUGAUCUACUUGGAACCUGCUCAGGAUCGCCUCCGUUCCCCCAAGCCUUGCGGACUCUUCCUGCCCUGCUUCACUCUGCCAAUUCCCCUGCUCAGCCCCCUGCACCUGCCUUAGCCUCAGAUUCAGCUGCCAGCCUCUGCCUUCCCCUGGCCACUAAGACUCUGCUGCUCCUUUUUUACCUCAACAUCAAGUUGUAAUAAAACCAAUCUGAUUCCA